AGGCAUCUGGACCGUGGAAAACACUUCUUGUAUUCUCGCACUCUGCAUGCACAAGUGGGCUAUGGCUCCUGUACAUUGCCGCUCUCCGUGGAAUCUUGUGGCUUGCACCGUUGUGUAGAGAUCGUUGCAGUUAACAGAUGUCACAAACUGAUUUGUGCAUGGCUGCCUCCCAUGUGGUUCCAACGUACUUAUUCUGAGUUUAGAAAAACAAACAAGUAAUGUUACAUAGUUAUGGAGCUUGUCACCCCAGUUAUUUUAGAUGUACUUCCACUUUAGAUCAAGCAUUUCAAUUUAGGUUUAUCAAUGUUAAGAAAAAUAGAGGAUUGAUUAUGACGCUGGGGAUAACAAUAGGCCAUUGGAACCUUUCAUGUAGCUUACC
This 379-nucleotide long non-coding RNA is filed under the name Oryza brachyantha (malo sina). RNAcentral describes it as "long non-coding RNA (OBRA_LNC002980)". Lineage: Eukaryota; Viridiplantae; Streptophyta; Magnoliopsida; Poales; Poaceae. The record is from RNAcentral.